Molecule: ribosomal RNA, 109 nt
Filed under: uncultured bacterium
Lineage: Bacteria
Description: partial 16S ribosomal RNA
Rfam family: Bacterial small subunit ribosomal RNA
Source: RNAcentral
UACGUUCCCGGGCCUUCGUACACACCGCCCGUCAAGCCACUGGAAGCUGGGGGUGCCUGAAGUCGGUGACCGCAAGGAGCUGCCUAGGGUAAAACUGGUAACUAGGGCU